GAGAUGUUGGGUUAGUCCCGCACGAGCGCAACCCUUAUCUCCAGUUGCUACCAUUUAGUUGAGCACUCUGGCGAAACCGCCUCGGAUAACGGGGAGGAAGGUGGGGAUGACGUCAAGUCCUCAUGGCCUUUAUGUCCAGGGCUACACACGUGCUACAAUGGCCGGUACAAACCGCUGCAAACCCGUGAGGGGGAGCCAAUCGGAAAAAGCCGGCCUCAGUUCGGAUUGGAGUCUGCAACUCGACUCCAUGAAGCUGGAAUCGCUAGUAAUCGUGGAUCAGCAUGCCACGGUGAAUACGUUCCCGGGCCUUGUACACACCGCCCGU
RNAcentral lists this ribosomal RNA (325 nucleotides) under uncultured Acidobacteriota bacterium. Its description in RNAcentral is "bacterial SSU rRNA". It matches the Rfam family "Bacterial small subunit ribosomal RNA", at positions 1069 to 1397 of the family's 1533-position model. Lineage: Bacteria; Pseudomonadati; Acidobacteriota. The record is from RNAcentral.